UUAAACAAUCUUUAAUGUAAAAUUUCAAUAGUGAACAAUGUGAAUAAAUAAAUUUAUUCUGUAAACCGUUGGUAGAUAAGCUAUUACCUUAAAAAUGUACAGAAUUCACAAUAUAGUAUUAUCCACAAAGCAUGAGAUUUCAGAGACAACUGUGUUAAACAACUUGUUUCAUGUUAAGACGCACCUCGGUAGUAUGAGUUGGAUUUAACUGUAGUAUUUUCAAAAAGCAAAAUAAAUUUUGAAUCUGU
Long non-coding RNA from Eurytemora carolleeae, 248 nucleotides. RefSeq lists it as uncharacterized. The transcript is spliced from 2 exons. NCBI's taxonomy places the organism in Eukaryota, Metazoa, Arthropoda, Copepoda, Calanoida, Temoridae. The record is from RefSeq and is a predicted model, not a curated record.